GAUGAACGCUGGCGGCGUGCCUAAUACAUGCAAGUCGAGCGAACAGACGAGGAGCUUGCUCCUCUGACGUUAGCGGCGGACGGGUGAGUAACACGUGGAUAACCUACAUAUAAGACUGGGAUAACUUCGGGAAACCGGAGCUAAUACCGGAUAAUAUAUUGAACCGCAUGGUUCAAUAGUGAAAGACGGUUUUGCUGUCACUUAUAGAUGGAUCCGCGCCGCAUUAGCUAGUUGGUAAGGUAACGGCUUACCAAGGCAACGAUGCGUAGCCGACCUGAGAGGGUGAUCGGCCACACUGGAACUGAGACACGGUCCAGACUCCUACGGGAGGCAGCAGUAGGGAAUCUUCCGCAAUGGGCGAAAGCCUGACGGAGCAACGCCGCGUGAGUGAUGAAGGUCUUCGGAUCGUAAAACGCUGUUAUUAGGGAAGAACAAAUGUGUAAGUAACUAUGCACGUCUUGACGGUACCUAAUCAGAAAGCCACGGCUAACUACGU
Molecule: ribosomal RNA, 496 nt
Filed under: uncultured bacterium
Lineage: Bacteria
Description: partial 16S ribosomal RNA
Rfam family: Bacterial small subunit ribosomal RNA
Source: RNAcentral